RNAcentral lists this long non-coding RNA (232 nucleotides) under Vitis vinifera (wine grape). RNAcentral's name for it is "long non-coding RNA (VVIN_LNC001541)". The record is from RNAcentral. Lineage: Eukaryota; Viridiplantae; Streptophyta; Magnoliopsida; Vitales; Vitaceae.
CAGAUUUCCAUCACCUUCAUCAUCUCACCCACACCCACAUGCACCACCGCCAUACCACACACGCACCACCUCCCAAACCUCCACAAUCCGCUCGCCUUUCCAAUGUCGGUGGGGAUCAAAUGCGACAGCAGCAACGCCUUGGAUUCGAAACUGACUGGUUUAAAACCGGAACUCUUGCAUGUGGGGAACACCACCUUAGGCCAUGCAAAGGAGUAGUCACGCGUUCUCUAAC